AUAAUGACUCCCGGCAACGGAUAUCUCGGCUCUUGCAUCGAUGAAGAACGUAGCGAAAUGCGAUACUUGGUGUGAAUUGCAGAAUCCCGUGAACCAUCGAGUCUUUGAACGCAAGUUGCGCCCCGACGCCUUUAGGCUGAGGGCACGUCUGCCUGGGUGUCACAC
Molecule: ribosomal RNA, 165 nt
Filed under: Dorycnopsis gerardii
Lineage: Eukaryota; Viridiplantae; Streptophyta; Magnoliopsida; Fabales; Fabaceae
Description: 5.8S ribosomal RNA
Rfam family: 5.8S ribosomal RNA
About the family: 5.8S ribosomal RNA (5.8S rRNA) is a component of the large subunit of the eukaryotic ribosome.
Source: RNAcentral